Long non-coding RNA from Zophobas morio, 834 nucleotides. RefSeq lists it as uncharacterized. The record is from RefSeq and is a predicted model, not a curated record. Lineage: Eukaryota; Metazoa; Arthropoda; Insecta; Coleoptera; Tenebrionidae. The transcript is spliced from 4 exons.
GCGGUUGUAAAAAUUACAGUUUUUUGUUCAAAGGCGGCAUUCAUAAUACUGACACUGAAAUCCAAUCCAGAAUUAAAUAUGCUAGAAAAUAAAGUUGACUGGAAAACAGGAAAAAAGGAAAACAACUCCAGCUGGAGCUUUGUCUUUCUAAAGAAAAAAAAUUCUGGAGGUAACGCAUACGAGCCUGUGGAGACGUAUAACAAUAUAGCGGAUGUGGACAGUAGUGAAAGUCCUUAUCAACACUGCUAUGAAGCUUUUCUGGCAGAAACUACUGACCAACUGGAAAAUCUAGAGCUUGGUACACAGCGCUUUAAGGGAAGAGUAUAUAUAAGGUUACCAAGAGGAAUGAAAACAGAGUGAUAGUCUGUUUCGAUAAAAGUAACAUGGUCCUCAAGGCAACAUCUGGAAAUAUUUUGCGCACCUUUCCGUAAAUUUAGUUUAGAGCUUAAAUGCUUUUUGAUAGAACAAGAAAAUUUUCUGCCGUGCCCCAUGGUUGUUUAUAAUCUUUACUCCACAGGCUGAGCGACCUGAGAAAAAUACAUCAUAAGCGCGGAAAAGAUAACUUCAUUUCACUUUUAUUAAUAAGUGGUGAGGUAAGCGUUAUUUUAAACUCCAAAAACUCCUGCAUAUGAAAGAGUUUUGAGAGGUCUUCACUAUCUGCUCUAAAGAAACUGUGGCUAUAAAAGAAGUAAUUAUAUCCUUAGUUAACAAGCACACGAGCUUAGAAGUUGGAAGCUACAAAAGUUCAAGAAUGCUCUGAAAGUGGAGGAUUUUCGUCUAGAACGAAGAGAAAAUUAAGGAGAUCGUAAUAAACUUAGUAGUUUGACUUUAAUU